Molecule: transfer RNA, 70 nt
Filed under: Ovis aries (sheep)
Lineage: Eukaryota; Metazoa; Chordata; Mammalia; Artiodactyla; Bovidae
Rfam family: tRNA
About the family: Transfer RNA (tRNA) molecules are approximately 80 nucleotides in length. Their secondary structure includes four short double-helical elements and three loops (D, anti-codon, and T loops).
Source: Rfam by way of RNAcentral
UCCCUGGUGGUCCAGUGGUUAAGACUGCACUUCCAAUGCAGGGGCAUGGGUUCAAUCCCUGAUUGGGGAA